Molecule: ribosomal RNA, 2936 nt
Filed under: Priestia megaterium
Lineage: Bacteria; Bacillati; Bacillota; Bacilli; Caryophanales; Bacillaceae
Description: 23S ribosomal RNA
Rfam family: Bacterial large subunit ribosomal RNA
Source: RNAcentral
GGUUAAGUUAGAAAGGGCGCACGGUGAAUGCCUUGGCACUAGGAGCCGAUGAAGGACGGGACUAACACCGAUAUGCUUCGGGGAGCUGUAAGUGAGCUUUGAUCCGGAGAUUUCCGAAUGGGGAAACCCACUGUUCGUAAUGGAACAGUAUCUUUAUCUGAAUACAUAGGAUAUUGAAGGCAGACCCGGGGAACUGAAACAUCUAAGUACCCGGAGGAAGAGAAAGCAAAUGCGAUUUCCUGAGUAGCGGCGAGCGAAACGGAAUUAGCCCAAACCAAGAGGCUUGCCUCUUGGGGUUGUAGGACACUCUAUACGGAGUUACAAAGGAACGAAGUAAAUGAAGCGACCUGGAAAGGUCCGUCGAAGAAGGUAACAACCCUGUAGUUGAAACUUCGUUCCCUCUUGAGUGGAUCCUGAGUACGGCGGAACACGUGAAAUUCCGUCGGAAGCUGGGAGGACCAUCUCCCAAGGCUAAAUACUACCUAGUGACCGAUAGUGAACCAGUACCGUGAGGGAAAGGUGAAAAGCACCCCGGAAGGGGAGUGAAAGAGAUCCUGAAACCGUGUGCCUACAAGUAGUCAGAGCCCGUUAACGGGUGAUGGCGUGCCUUUUGUAGAAUGAACCGGCGAGUUACGAUCCCAUGCAAGGUUAAGCUGAUAAGGCGGAGCCGUAGCGAAAGCGAGUCUGAAUAGGGCGUUUAGUAUGUGGUUGUAGACCCGAAACCAGGUGAUCUACCCAUGUCCAGGGUGAAGUUCAGGUAACACUGAAUGGAGGCCCGAACCCACGCACGUUGAAAAGUGCGGGGAUGAGGUGUGGGUAGCGGAGAAAUUCCAAUCGAACCUGGAGAUAGCUGGUUCUCUCCGAAAUAGCUUUAGGGCUAGCCUCAUGUUGUGAGAGUCUUGGAGGUAGAGCACUGAUUGGACUAGGGGCCCCCAACGGGUUACCGAAUUCAGUCAAACUCCGAAUGCCAAAGACUUAUCCAUGGGAGUCAGACUGCGAGUGAUAAGAUCCGUAGUCAAAAGGGAAACAGCCCAGACCACCAGCUAAGGUCCCCAAGUAUACGUUAAGUGGAAAAGGAUGUGGAGUUGCUUAGACAACCAGGAUGUUGGCUUAGAAGCAGCCACCAUUUAAAGAGUGCGUAAUAGCUCACUGGUCGAGUGACUCUGCGCCGAAAAUGUACCGGGGCUAAACGUAUCACCGAAGCUGUGGAUUGACAUCUUUGAUGUCAGUGGUAGGAGAGCGUUCUAAGUGCUGUGAAGUCAGACCGUAAGGACUGGUGGAGCGCUUAGAAGUGAGAAUGCCGGUAUGAGUAGCGAAAGACAAGUGAGAAUCUUGUCCACCGAAUGCCUAAGGUUUCCUGAGGAAGGCUCGUCCGCUCAGGGUUAGUCGGGACCUAAGCCGAGGCUGAAAAGCGUAGGCGAUGGCCAACAGGUUGAUAUUCCUGUACCACCUCCCCGCCGUUUGAGUAAUGGGGGGACGCAGUAGGAUAGGGUAAGCGCGCUGCUGGAUAUGCGCGUUCAAGCAGUUAGGCUGAUGAGUAGGCAAAUCCGCUCAUCAUAAAGGCUGAGCUGUGAUGACGAGGGAAUUAUAGUACCGAAGUUCCUGAUUCCACACUGCCAAGAAAAGCCUCUAGCGAGGCGGGAGGUGCCCGUACCGCAAACCGACACAGGUAGGCGAGGAGAGAAUCCUAAGGUGAUCGAGAGAACUCUCGUUAAGGAACUCGGCAAAAUGACCCCGUAACUUCGGGAGAAGGGGUGCUCUGGUAGGGUGUAUAGCCCGAGAGAGCCGCAGUGAAUAGGCCCAGGCGACUGUUUAGCAAAAACACAGGUCUCUGCGAAGCCGCAAGGCGAAGUAUAGGGGCUGACGCCUGCCCGGUGCUGGAAGGUUAAGAGGAGGGGUUAUCCUUUGGGAGAAGCUCUGAAUCGAAGCCCCAGUAAACGGCGGCCGUAACUAUAACGGUCCUAAGGUAGCGAAAUUCCUUGUCGGGUAAGUUCCGACCCGCACGAAAGGCGUAACGAUCUGGGCACUGUCUCAACGAGAGACUCGGUGAAAUUAUAGUACCUGUGAAGAUGCAGGUUACCCGCGACAGGACGGAAAGACCCCGUGGAGCUUUACUGUAGCCUGAUAUUGAAUUUUGGUACAGCUUGUACAGGAUAGGUAGGAGCCUGAGAAGCCGGAGCGCUAGCUUCGGUGGAGGCGUCGGUGGGAUACUACCCUGGCUGUAUUGAAAUUCUAACCCGCGGCCCUUAUCGGGCCGGGAGACAGUGUCAGGUGGGCAGUUUGACUGGGGCGGUCGCCUCCUAAAAUGUAACGGAGGCGCCCAAAGGUUCCCUCAGAAUGGUUGGAAAUCAUUCGUAGAGUGUAAAGGCACAAGGGAGCUUGACUGCGAGACCUACAAGUCGAGCAGGGACGAAAGUCGGGCUUAGUGAUCCGGUGGUUCCGCAUGGAAGGGCCAUCGCUCAACGGAUAAAAGCUACCCCGGGGAUAACAGGCUUAUCUCCCCCAAGAGUCCACAUCGACGGGGAGGUUUGGCACCUCGAUGUCGGCUCAUCGCAUCCUGGGGCUGUAGUCGGUCCCAAGGGUUGGGCUGUUCGCCCAUUAAAGCGGUACGCGAGCUGGGUUCAGAACGUCGUGAGACAGUUCGGUCCCUAUCCGUCGUGGGCGUAGGAAAUUUGAGAGGAGCUGUCCUUAGUACGAGAGGACCGGGAUGGACACACCGCUGGUGUACCAGUUGUCUUGCCAAAGGCAUCGCUGGGUAGCUAUGUGUGGACGGGAUAAGUGCUGAAAGCAUCUAAGCAUGAAGCCCCCCUCAAGAUGAGAUUUCCCAUAGCGUAAGCUAGUAAGAUCCCUGAAAGAUGAUCAGGUUGAUAGGUCAGAGGUGGAAGCGUGGCGACAUGUGUAGCUGACUGAUACUAAUCGAUCGAGGACUUAACCAA